RNAcentral lists this ribosomal RNA (405 nucleotides) under uncultured bacterium. RNAcentral describes it as "partial 16S ribosomal RNA". It matches the Rfam family "Bacterial small subunit ribosomal RNA", at positions 28 to 526 of the family's 1533-position model. The record is from RNAcentral.
GAUGAACGCUGGCGGCGUGCCUAAUACAUGCAAGUCGAGCGAAGCGGGGACGGGUGAGUAACACGUGGAUAACCUCCUCUACGACUGGGAUAACUUCGGGAAACCGUAGCUAAACCCGAUACUUAUCGAUGGCUCCGCGCUUCAUUAGCUAGUUGGUAAGGUAACGGCUUACCAAGGCAACGAUGCAUAGCCGACCUGAGAGGGUAAGCGGCAAGACUGAAACGAGGACAAGGUCGAGACUACUAAGGGGGGCAGCAGUAGGGAAACUGCCGCAAUGGGCGAAAGCCUGACAGAGCAACGCCGCGUGAGUGAUGAAGAUCUUGGGAUCGUAAGACUCUGUAAGUAGGGAAGCGGUACCUAAGCAGAAAGCCACGGCUAACUACGUGCCAGCAGCCGCGGUAAUUC